This 1531-nucleotide ribosomal RNA is filed under the name Atopobium sp. Its description in RNAcentral is "partial 23S ribosomal RNA". It matches the Rfam family "Bacterial large subunit ribosomal RNA", at positions 1320 to 2925 of the family's 2925-position model. The record is from RNAcentral. Lineage: Bacteria; Bacillati; Actinomycetota; Coriobacteriia; Coriobacteriales; Atopobiaceae.
GGUGAGAAUCCUGCCCACCGAAAAUCUAAGGUUUCCUGAGGAAGGUUCGUCCACUCAGGGUUAGUCGGGGCCUAAGCCGAGGGCGAAAGCCAUAGGCGAUGGAUAACAGGUAGAAAUUCCUGUACCACCGAAGGUUGUUUGAAUGAUGUGGGGACACAGGAGGAUAAGCUGAGCACGCCGUUGGUAGAGCGUGUCCAAGCGUCAAGGGAGUAUGAAUAGGCAAAUCCGUUCAUAUAUAUUCUGAGGCGUGAUGGGGUGGUCAAUAGACCGGAAGCAGCUGAUUUCACACUGUCAAGAAAAGCCGCUAAUUAGACCUAAGGUGCCCGUACCGCAAACCGACACAGGUAGAUGAGGAGAGAAUCCUAAGGUGAGCGAGAGAACUAUUGUUAAGGAACUCGGCAAAAUGACCCCGUAACUUCGGGNNNNNNNNNAAACACAGGUCUCUGCAAAACCGAAAGGUGAAGUAUAGGGGCUGACACCUGCCCGGUGCUGGAAGGUUAAGAGGAGAUGUCAUCGCAAGAGAAGCAUUGAAUUGAAGCCCCAGUAAACGGCGGCCGUAACUAUAACGGUCCUAAGGUAGCGAAAUUCCUUGUCGGGUAAGUUCCGACCCGCAUGAAAGGUGUAAUGAUUUGGGCACUGUCUCAACAAGGGACCCGGUGAAAUCGAAAUACCUGUGAAGAUGCAGGUUACCCGCAACUGGACAGAAAGACCCCAUGGAGCUUUACUGUAGUUUGAUAUUGAGUUUCGGUUAAGUAUGCACAGGAUAGGUGGGAGACGAUGAGACUGGUCUUUCGGGAUCAGAGGAGUCACUGUUGGGAUACCACUCUUACUUAAUUGAAAUUCUAACUCUAAGCCGUGAUCCGGCUAGAGGACCGUGGCAGAUGGGCAGUUUGACUGGGGCGGUCGCCUCCCAAAGAGUAACGGAGGCGUUCAAAGGUUCCCUCAGGCUGGAUGGAAAUCAGCCUAAGAGUGCAAACGCAUAAGGGAGCUUGACUGCAAGACUGACGGGUCGAGCAGGUACGAAAGUAGGAGUUAGUGAUCCGGCGGUUCCGCAUGGAAGGACCGUCGCUCAACGGAUAAAAGCUACCCCGGGGAUAACAGGCUGAUACUUCCCAAGAGUCCAUAUCGACGGAAGUGUUUGGCACCUCGAUGUCGGCUCGUCUCAUCCUGGGGCUGGAGAAGGUCCCAAGGGUUGGGCUGUUCGCCCAUUAAAGAGGCACGCGAGCUGGGUUCAGAACGUCGUGAGACAGUUCGGUCCCUAUCCACUGCAGGCGCCGGAAAUUUGAGAAGAUCUGACCUUAGUACGAGAGGACCGGGAUGGACAGACCUCUGAUGUAUCAGUUGUCACGCCAGUGGCAUGGCUGAGUAGUCACGUUUGGAAUGGAUAACCGCUGAAAGCAUCUAAGCGGGAAACUAACUUCAAGAUAAGUAUUCUUUAAGAUACCUUCGAGCCUAGGAGGUUGAUAGGUUGGGGGUGUAAGUGCAGCAAUGCAUUUAGCUGACUAGUACUAAUAUUACGUCUGCUUUUAAG